Molecule: ribosomal RNA, 836 nt
Filed under: uncultured archaeon
Lineage: Archaea
Description: bacterial SSU rRNA
Rfam family: Archaeal small subunit ribosomal RNA
Source: RNAcentral
UGAUCCUGCCGGACCCCACUGCUAUCGGGAUGGGACUAAGACAUGCUAGUCGUGCGUCUCUAAGCCAUGGUGGAGGCGCGGCGCACAGCUCAGUAACACGUGGCUAACCUGCCCUUGGGACAGGGACAACCCCGGGAAACUGGGGCUAAUCCCUGAUAGGUGAGGACUCCUGGAAUGGGUCCUCGCCGAAAGGGUGUCUAGACCAUGCUUCUAGGCGUCGCUCAAGGACGGGGCCGCGGCCGAUCAGGUUGUUGGUGAGGUAACGGCUCACCAUGCCUUUAACCGGUACGGGCCGUGAGAGCGGGAGCCCGGAGAUGGGCACUGAGACAAGGGCCCAGGCCCUACGGGGCGCAGCAGUCGCGAAAACUCCGCAAUACGCGAAAGCGUGACGGGGCUAUCCCGAGUGCCAUCCGCUGAGGAAGGCUUUUCCCCAGUGUAUAAAGCUGGGGGAAUAAGGAGAGGGCAAGACUGGUGUCAGCCGCCGCGGUAAUACCAGCUCUCCGAGUGGUGGGGAUGCUUAUUGGGCCUAAAGCAUUCGUAGCUGGUUGGGCAAGUUCUCCGUUAAAUCCAACGAUUCAAUCGUUGGGCUGCGGGGGAUACUGUCCGGCUAGGGGGCGGGAGAGGCCGACGGUAUUCUCGGGGUAGGGGUGAAAUCCUAUAAUCCCGGGAGGACCACCAGUGGCGAAGGCUGUCGGCUAGAACGCGCCCGACGGUGAGGGAUGAAAGCUGGGGGAGCGAACCGGAUUAGAUACCCGGGUAGUCCCAGCUGUAAACGAUGCAGGCUAGGUGUUGGCGCGGCUACGUGCCGCUCUGGUGCCGCAGAGAAGUCGUUAAGC